GUUGUAUAGUCAAGUAAUUAAGUGCAUGUGGUGGAUGCCUUGGCAGUCAGAGGCGAUGAAAGACGUGAUAGCCUGCGAAAAGCUCCGGGGAGGCGGCAAAUAUCCUUUGAUCCGGAGAUGUCUGAAUGGGGGAACCCACCUACUUUAAGGUAGGUAUUGCAACAUGAAUACAUAGUGUUGCAAGGCGAACGAGGGGAAGUGAAACAUCUCAGUACCCUUAGGAAAAGAAAUCAAUUGAGAUUCCCUCAGUAGCGGCGAGCGAACGGGGAUCAGCCCAUUAAGUUAUGUGUGUUUUAGUGGAACGCUCUGGGAAGUGCGAACGUAGAGGGUGAUAUUCCCGUACACGAAAGGGCACACAUAAUGAUGACGAGUAGGGCGAGGCACGUGAAACCUUGUCUGAAUAUGGGGGGACCAUCCUCCAAGGCUAAAUACUCCUGACUGACCGAUAGUGAACCAGUACCGUGAGGGAAAGGCGAAAAGAACCCCUGUGAGGGGAGUGAAAUAGAUCCUGAAACCGCAUGCAUACAAGCAGUGGGAGCACCUUCGUGGUGUGACUGCGUACCUUUUGUAUAAUGGGUCAGCGACUUAUAUUCAGUAGCAAGGUUAACCGUAUAGGGGAGCCGUAGAGAAAUCGAGUCUUAAUAGGGCGUUUAGUUGCUGGGUAUAGACCCGAAACCAGGCGAUCUAUCCAUGAGCAGGUUGAAGGUUGGGUAACACUAACUGGAGGACCGAACCCACUGUCGUUGAAAAGCCAGGGGAUGACUUGUGGAUAGGGGUGAAAGGCUAAUCAAGCCUGGUGAUAGCUGGUUCUCCCCGAAAGCUAUUUAGGUAGCGCCUCGGACGAAUACCAUAGGGGGUAGAGCACUGUUUCGGCUAGGGGGUCAUCCCGACUUACCAAACCGAUGCAAACUCCGAAUACCUAUGAGUACUAUCCGGGAGACAGACUGCGGGUGCUAACGUCCGUAGUCAAGAGGAAAACAAUCCAGACCGCCAGCUAAGGCCCCAAAAUCAUAGUUAAGUGGGAAACGAUGUGGGAAGGCAUAGACAGCUAGGAGGUUGGCUUANNNNNNNNNNNNNNNNNNNNNNNNNNGAAGCAGCCACCCUUUAAAGAAAGCGUAAUAGCUCACUAGUCGAGUCGGCCUGCGCGGAAGAUGUAACGGGGCUAAAACUAUGUGCCGAAGCUGCGGAUGUAUACUUUGUAUACGUGGUAGGGGAGCGUUCUGUAAGCCGAUGAAGGUGUGUUGAGAAGCNNNNNNNNNNNNNNNNNNNNNNNNNNNNNNAUGCUGGAGGUAUCAGAAGUGCGAAUGCUGACGUGAGUAACGACAAAACGGGUGAAAAACCCGUUCGCCGAAAGACCAAGGGUUCCAGUCCAACGUUAAUCGGGGCUGGGUGAGUCGACCCCUAAGGCGAGGCCGAAAGGCGUAGUCGAUGGGAAAAUGGUUAAUAUUCCAUUACUUCUGUGUAAUGCGAUGAGAGGACGGAGAAGGCUAAAUCAGCCUGGCGUUGGUUGUCCAGGUGAAAGGAUGUAGGCAUGUAUCUUAGGCAAAUCCGGGGUACUCUAUGCUGAGAUCUGAUAGCAAGCUGUACUUGUACAGCGAAGUGGUUGAUGCCAUGCUUCCAGGAAAAGUCUCUAAGCUUCAGUUACACAGGAAUCGUACCCGAAACCGACACAGGUGGUCAGGUCGAGUAGACCAAGGCGCUUGAGAGAACUCUGCUGAAGGAACUAGGCAAAAUGGUACCGUAACUUCGGGAGAAGGUACGCUGUUGUUGGUGAUGGAACUCGCUUCCUGAGCUGACGACAGCCGCAGAAACCAGGCCGCUGCAACUGUUUAUUAAAAACAUAGCACUCUGCAAACACGAAAGUGGACGUAUAGGGUGUGAUGCCUGCCCGGUGCUGGAAGGUUAAUUGAUGGGGUUAGCGUAAGCGAAGCUCUUGAUCGAAGCCCCAGUAAACGGCGGCCGUAACUAUAACGGUCCUAAGGUAGCGAAAUUCCUUGUCGGGUAAGUUCCGACCUGCACGAAUGGCAUAAUGAUGGCGGCGCUGUCUCCAGCAGAGGCUCAGUGAAAUCGAAAUCGCUGUGAAGAUGCAGUGUACCCGCGGCUAGACGGAAAGACCCCGUGAACCUUUACUGCAGCUUGACACUGAACUUUGACCUUACUUGUGUAGGAUAGGUGGGAGGCUUUGAAGCUGGAACGCUAGUUCCAGUGGAGCCGUCCUUGAAAUACCACCCUGGUAAUGUUGAGGUUCUAACUCUGUCCCGUGAUCCGGGACGAGGACCGUGUCUGGUGGGUAGUUUGACUGGGGCGGUCUCCUCCUAAAGAGUAACGGAGGAGUACGAAGGUGCGCUCAGCGUGGUCGGAAAUCACGCGUAGAGUAUAAAGGCAAAAGCGCGCUUAACUGCGAGACCCACAAGUCGAGCAGGUACGAAAGUAGGUCUUAGUGAUCCGGUGGUUCUGUAUGGAAGGGCCAUCGCUCAACGGAUAAAAGGUACUCUGGGGAUAACAGGCUGAUACCGCCCAAGAGUUCAUAUCGACGGCGGUGUUUGGCACCUCGAUGUCGGCUCAUCUCAUCCUGGGGCUGAAGCAGGUCCCAAGGGUAUGGCUGUUCGCCAUUUAAAGAGGUACGCGAGCUGGGUUUAGAACGUCGUGAGACAGUUCGGUCCCUAUCUACCGUGGGCGCUGGAAAUUUGAGAGGAUCUGCUCCUAGUACGAGAGGACCAGAGUGGACGAACCUCUGGUGUACCGGUUGUGACGCCAGUCGCAUCGCCGGGUAGCUAUGUUCGGAAGGGAUAACCGCUGAAAGCAUCUAAGCGGGAAGCCUACCUCAAGAUAAGAUUUCCCUAGGACUUUAUGUCCUCUAAAGAGCCGUUCGAGACUAGGACGUUGAUAGGUUGGAUGUGGAAGCAUAGUGAUAUGUGAAGCUGACCAAUACUAAUUGCUCGUGAGGCUUGACUAUACAACACCCAAGCAGUUG
This 2974-nucleotide ribosomal RNA is filed under the name Acinetobacter baumannii. RNAcentral's name for it is "23S ribosomal RNA". It matches the Rfam family "Bacterial large subunit ribosomal RNA". The record is from RNAcentral. Lineage: Bacteria; Pseudomonadati; Pseudomonadota; Gammaproteobacteria; Moraxellales; Moraxellaceae.